Molecule: ribosomal RNA, 253 nt
Filed under: uncultured bacterium
Lineage: Bacteria
Description: partial 16S ribosomal RNA
Rfam family: Bacterial small subunit ribosomal RNA
Source: RNAcentral
UACGGAGGGUGCAAGCGUUAUCCGGAUUCACUGGGUUUAAAGGGUGCGUAGGCGGGUAAGUAAGUCCGUGGUGAAAUCUCUGAGCUUAACUCAGAAACUGCCGUGGAUACUAUUUGCCUUGAAUAUUGUGGAGGUGAGCGGAAUAUGUCAUGUAGCGGUGAAAUGCUUAGAUAUGACAUAGAACACCAAUUGCGAAGGCAGCUCACUGGGCUGUAACUGACGCUGAGGCACGAAAGUGUGGGGAUCAAACAGG